UUGCUUCAGCAGCAUAUAUACUAAAACUGGCAUAAUAAAGAGAAAUCAACAUGGCCCCAGCAAAAGGAUGACAUGCAAAUCUGUGGGAUGUUCCAUAUUAAA
This is a small nuclear RNA of Microcebus murinus (gray mouse lemur), 102 nucleotides long. The record is from Ensembl. NCBI's taxonomy places the organism in Eukaryota, Metazoa, Chordata, Mammalia, Primates, Cheirogaleidae.